RNAcentral lists this ribosomal RNA (497 nucleotides) under Streptococcus intermedius. RNAcentral describes it as "bacterial SSU rRNA". It matches the Rfam family "Bacterial small subunit ribosomal RNA", at positions 28 to 500 of the family's 1533-position model. The record is from RNAcentral. Lineage: Bacteria; Bacillati; Bacillota; Bacilli; Lactobacillales; Streptococcaceae.
GACGAACGCUGCGGCGUGCCUAAUACAUGCAAGUAGAACGCACAGGAUGCACCGUAGUUUACUACACCGUAUUCUGUGAGUUGCGAACGGGUGAGUAACGCGUAGGUAACCUGCCUGGUAGCGGGGGAUAACUAUUGGAAACGAUAGCUAAUACCGCAUAAGAACAUUUACUGCAUGGUAGAUGUUUAAAAGGUGCAAAUGCAUCACUACCAGAUGGACCUGCGUUGUAUUAGCUAGUAGGUGAGGUAACGGCUCACCUAGGCGACGAUACAUAGCCGACCUGAGAGGGUGAUCGGCCACACUGGGACUGAGACACGGCCCAGACUCCUACGGGAGGCAGCAGUAGGGAAUCUUUGGCAAUGGGGGGAACCCUGACCGAGCAACGCCGCGUGAGUGAAGAAGGUUUUCGGAUCGUAAAGCUCUGUUGUUAAGGAAGAACGAGUGUGAGAAUGGAAAGUUCAUACUGUGACGGUACUUAACCAGAAAGGGACGGCUAA